UUCUUUUCCUAGGUGCUGGUGAUCCCGAAGCGUCCACAUGGAGGGGGAGCUUCACUUUGAGCAGUUGAAAGAGCUUGUUGAAAGACUGACAGAAACAGAAGAGGAUCCAUCAUGUGUGCCUGAGUCUAUUGAAAGACUCUACAGGGAAGUGGCAAAUAUGGAGAAAGAGGCUUUGAUCGAUACCCAGAAAGCCCAGUAAACUCCAGAGGAUGCAGAUCACCUUCAGGAUCAAAUUUUAAAUCCUUGGUAUGGCAUUCAAAGCCCUCCAUAUCUUUACCUCCACACACACCUUUCCAGGCUUCUUACACAUCACUCCCCUACCCCAUGUCCUCUUCAGUUCAAUGACACUGGUUUUCUUGCUAAAGAUACUUCAUCCCCUGACUCUGUUGAUUUUCACAUGUUCUCCUUCCUUAUCUCUGCUUCCUGGCUUCGUUCAAGUCCCAGAUAAAUUCCUGCCUUCUGCAAGAAGCAUUUCCCAAUCCCCUUUGAUGAUAGGGUCUUCCAUCCGCUGAUUAUCUGCGGUCCAUGCUAUGCAUGGCUUAUUUGCAUGUUGUUUUCCCCAUUGUGCCGUGAGCUCCUUGACCUUUCUCUGUAUCCCCAGGUUUUAGUGCUGUCCCUGGCACAUGGCUAGGAAGCCAUUGCUCUUCUUAGUUCAGGAUAACACUGGUGGUCACUGGGAUUAUUAUACAUCUCAGUGCCGAUUCUUCCUCGCAAAGUACUUAGAGUAGUUGACACAUUUUUUCCUGCUCCCUGAAAUGCUGUGAAGAAGAUGGAAUCCUUCUUAAACCUGUAUAAGUAAUUUUGACCAUGUUUUUCCCCUUGAUAUAUUUAAACCAUUGGUCCCCUUGGGAAAUUAAUAUUGUCAAUUAAUA
Non-coding RNA from Phascolarctos cinereus (koala), 872 nucleotides. Lineage: Eukaryota; Metazoa; Chordata; Mammalia; Diprotodontia; Phascolarctidae. The record is from RefSeq and is a predicted model, not a curated record.